This 487-nucleotide ribosomal RNA is filed under the name Vesta saturnalis. RNAcentral describes it as "partial 16S ribosomal RNA". The record is from RNAcentral. Lineage: Eukaryota; Metazoa; Arthropoda; Insecta; Coleoptera; Lampyridae.
GUCCUUUUGAGAAUAAUUUAAGGUCUAAUCUGCUCAGUGAAAAUUAAAUAGCCGCAGUAUUUUAACUGUGCAAAGGUAGCAUAAUAAAUAGUUUUUUAAUUGAAAUCUGGAAUGAAUGAUUGGACAAGAAAAUAUCUGUCUCUUUAUAAAUUGUUUUUGAAUUUAAUUUUUAAGUUAAAAAGCUUAAAUGUUUUUAAAAGACGAGAAGACCCUAUAGAGUUUUAUUUAUUUUAAUUAAUUUAGAAUUUAAUUUUUAACAAUAAAUUUGGUUGGGGUGAUUAAAAGAUUUAAUAAACUCUUUUAUUUUUUAUCAUUGAUUUAUGAAUUUUGAAUCUUUAUUUUAAAAUUUUAAAUUAAAUUACCUUAGGGAUAACAGCGUAAUUUUUUUUUAAAGUUCUUAUUGAAAGAAAAGUUUGCGACCUCGAUGUUGGAUUAAAAUUUAUUUUUGGUGUAGAAGCUGAAAUAUUAAGUCUGUUCGACUUAAAAU